RNAcentral lists this ribosomal RNA (539 nucleotides) under uncultured bacterium. RNAcentral describes it as "bacterial SSU rRNA". It matches the Rfam family "Bacterial small subunit ribosomal RNA", at positions 53 to 578 of the family's 1533-position model. The record is from RNAcentral.
CCAUGCAAGUCGAGCGAAGCCUUCGGGCUUAGCGGCGGACGGGUGAGUAAGCCGUGGGAACAUACCCUUUGGUACGGAAUAGCCCCGGGAAACUGGGAGUAAUACCGUAUGUGCCCCCCCAAUCAAAUUUCAUUUGAUUGAAAUAUCGAUCUUAUCGAGUUCUUGUGGAAUUUGAUGGGGGGGGAAAGAUUUAUCGCCAAAGGAUUGGCCCGCGUUGGAUUAGGUAGUUGGUGGGGUAAUGGCCUACCAAGCCGACGAUCCAUGGCUGGUUUGAGAGGAUGAUCAGCCACACUGGGACUGAGACACGGCCCAGACUCCUACGGGAGGCAGCAGUGGGGAAUCUUAGACAAUGGGGGCAACCCUGAUCUAGCCAUGCCGCGUGAGUGAUGAAGGCCCUAGGGUUGUAAAGCUCUUUCAGCUGGGAAGAUAAUGACGGUACCAGCAGAAGAAGCCCCGGCUAACUCCGUGCCAGCAGCCGCGGUAAUACGGAGGGGGCUAGCGUUGUUCGGAAUUACUGGGCGUAAAGCGCGCGUAGGCGG